Molecule: long non-coding RNA, 656 nt
Filed under: Mytilus galloprovincialis (Mediterranean mussel)
Lineage: Eukaryota; Metazoa; Mollusca; Bivalvia; Mytilida; Mytilidae
Source: RNAcentral
AGUGGGCCACAGACCACAAUUAAUUCCUCUAUUAGUUCUUUAUAACUUUUUGUCUCAUUAAAAAAAAUGUACCUAAUCUUUUUGUCAAAUUUUUUGUGUGUGUAAUGUAUAGUACUAGUCCAAAAACAUAUCCAAAAUUCAGAAAGAUUGCUCUGAUGUAACUUACAAAUUUAGCCAAUACACAUCCAUACCCCUAUGGACAAGUCAAGAGAUGUUCCGAAAACUGUAAAUAUUACCUUUUUGCACUUGACCUAAUCACUCUUUCCAUAUUAAAAUCAGUUAAAAUACCUUCAACAAAAAGUUAUUUCACCUCUCUUCUUUCAUUUCCACCCCAGAAAAACAAACAAAUGAAUGAAAAAGGCAAAGAAAAAAAAUAAAGAAAAAAUACACUUUAAUUAAAGGGAACUAUAUUCGUGAACAACGAAAAGUAGGGUCAUUAAUUGUGGUCUUGGGCCUAUUAGACCCUUAAACUUCAAUAUAAUACCCCAAAAAAUGGCACGCAUUAAGCUUAUUCUAUAUCGAACUAGCAUACCAAAUAUCAAAUCAAUCCGACAAGAAAUAUUGCAGUUCUGAUAGUUUUAAUAACACUACCCUCAUGUUGAUAAUUCUAGGUAUUUUCUGGCAUGAAACUUUUAAAACAUGUAACUACUAGGAAA